GUACAAGUUUCCGUAGGUGAACCUGCGGAAGGAUCAUUA
RNAcentral lists this ribosomal RNA (39 nucleotides) under Trichophyton benhamiae. Its description in RNAcentral is "partial 18S ribosomal RNA". Lineage: Eukaryota; Fungi; Ascomycota; Eurotiomycetes; Onygenales; Arthrodermataceae. The record is from RNAcentral.